Molecule: non-coding RNA, 27 nt
Filed under: Bombyx mori (domestic silkworm)
Lineage: Eukaryota; Metazoa; Arthropoda; Insecta; Lepidoptera; Bombycidae
Source: RNAcentral
UCCAUUAUGGUGGGAAAAAAUAGUGUC